Coccinella septempunctata (seven-spotted ladybird) is the source of this 549-nucleotide long non-coding RNA. RefSeq lists it as uncharacterized. The record is from RefSeq and is a predicted model, not a curated record. Lineage: Eukaryota; Metazoa; Arthropoda; Insecta; Coleoptera; Coccinellidae. The transcript has 3 exons.
UCGCCAGUGACAAUUGGCAAUUUAAAAAACAAAAAAAGCCGGUAGAAGGAAGAAGGCCAAAAGAGAGAAGAAUUAACUAGCCAUAAAACUAAUCAUCAAGAAUCCAGAAACAUUUUUUUAAAACAAAAAAAAUGAAGAAUACCCAUUUUCCUACUUAAAGAUACCUCAUCUGAGAAUGCUGCCUUAGCCAUAUCAGUUGCUAGAAGAACAUUCAUUGUCACCACCACCACCAUACGACGCACCUCCACGAUGGUAUGAAGCACCGCAGCCACCAUCAGCACCAUACGAAGCGCAUCCACCAUCACCGCCACCCCAAAUAAUCAUAAUUUCUGUUUCUGACGACGAUGAUGGAAACUAAUUUUUUGAUUAUUUUGUAUUUCAUCUAUCCUAUAUCAAAGAAUACUUGAUGAAACGAAUGGGUAAGUAAUUUUUCAAUUUUUAUAUGAACUCAAAAUGAUAGAGCAAUAUUCAUAACAUUCUACAAGAUAUUCAGAAGUAUAAUAAUGUCUUAUCCAAUAUUUCUCACAGUUUACAGGACAAAUAUAUUGU